RNAcentral lists this transfer RNA (73 nucleotides) under Phycisphaerae bacterium. RNAcentral's name for it is "tRNA-Lys". It matches the Rfam family "tRNA". From Rfam's summary of the family: Transfer RNA (tRNA) molecules are approximately 80 nucleotides in length. Their secondary structure includes four short double-helical elements and three loops (D, anti-codon, and T loops). Further hydrogen bonds mediate the characteristic L-shaped molecular structure. tRNAs have two regions of fundamental functional importance: the anti-codon, which is responsible for specific mRNA codon recognition, and the 3' end, to which the tRNAs corresponding amino acid is attached (by aminoacyl-tRNA synthetases). tRNAs cope with the degeneracy of the genetic code in two manners: having more than one tRNA (with a specific anti-codon) for a particular amino acid; and 'wobble' base-pairing, i.e. permitting non-standard base-pairing at the 3rd anti-codon position. Lineage: Bacteria; Pseudomonadati; Planctomycetota; Phycisphaerae. The record is from RNAcentral.
GCGCCGCUAGCUCAGUUGGUAGAGCGGCUGACUCUUAAUCAGCGGGUCCGGGGUUCGAGUCCCUGGCGGCGCA